This 2210-nucleotide long non-coding RNA is filed under the name Triticum aestivum (bread wheat). RNAcentral's name for it is "long non-coding RNA (TAES_LNC001174)". Lineage: Eukaryota; Viridiplantae; Streptophyta; Magnoliopsida; Poales; Poaceae. The record is from RNAcentral.
AUGCUGUUUGUUUCAAUUUGCUUAAAUAACUUGCUAAAAUGAUUUAAUUCAUAACAAUUUAACCGUAGCUCGGUUUUAAACAAACCUUAUAUGUAAAUGGGGUAGAAAAAUGCCUAGUUUAACAUGGUGGCUUCACUUUGCAUGUUUAACAACUCUAAAAUAUGGUUUAGGACAGAACAGGACCAAACUUUAAAAUAUGCACAUGAGGAGUUUCCGGACUUGUUGUUUUGUUGUUCCGGCCUCAUUUAAACUUGCCUAGAUAGAUAGUUUCAUUAUGCUUCAUCUCUUGCCAUGUUUAACAACAUUUAAUAUUGUUGGGUACAUAAACGAGAGAGAACUAAAUAACUGAAUGUGGUGUUUCAUCAAUAUGCAUCCACUUAUUUUUUAGGAUUGCUUGUGCACUUUCCCAUGCCAUGCAUAUUUAAACCGGACAUGCAUCAUACUUGAUUGUGCAUCAUGUCAUGAUUAUGUGGUGGUUGUUUACUAUGUUGUUUGCUUCUUUCCGGUGUUGCUUCUUCGGGUUAGUUCCGAUUAUGUCGCGUUCGUGAGGAUCCGUUCGACUACGUCUGGUUGUCUUCUUCAUGGACUCGUUCUUCUUCCUUGCGGGAUCUCAGGCAAGAUGACCAUACCCUCGAAAUCACUUCUAUCUUUGCUUGCUAGUUGCUCGCUCUUUUGCUAUGCCUAUGCUGCGAUACCUACCACUUGCUUACCAUGCCUCCCAUAUUGUUAAACCAAGCCUCUAACCCACCUUGUCCUAGCAAACCGUUGUUUGGCUAUGUUACCGCUUUGCUUAGCCCCUCUUAUAGCGUUGUUAGUUGCAGGUGAAGAUUGGAGUUUGUUCCUUGUUGAACAUGGAUAUUUUGUUGGGAUAUCACAAUAUCUCUUAUUUAAUUAAUGCAUCUAUAUACUUGGUAAAGGGUGGAAGGCUCGGCCUUAUGCCUAGUGUUUUGUUCCACUCUUGCCGCCCUAGUUUCCGUCAUAUCGGUGUUAUGUUCCCGGAUUUUGCGUUCCUUACACGGUUGGGUUAUAAUGGGAACCCCUUGAUAGUUUGCCUUGAAUAAAACUCUUCCAGCAAUGCCCAACAUUGGUUUUACCAUUCGCCACCUAGCCUUUUCUUUCCCUUGGAUUCUCUAGACUCAAGGGUCAUCUUUAUUUAAACCCCCCCGGGCCAGUGCUCCUCUGAGUGUUGGUCCAAACUAGAGCCCUGUGCAGCGCCCUCUCGGGGAAACUCGAGGUUUGGUUUUAGUUGUAUGGAGCACUCAUCUGAGUGUGCCCAACGAGAUAUGUGCAGCUCCUAUCGGGAUUUGUCGGCACAUUCGGGCGGUGUUGCUGGACUUGUUUUACCAUUGUUGAGGAUGUCUUGUAACCGGGAUGCCGAGUCUGAUCGGAUUGUCUUGGGAGAAGGAAUAUCCUUCGUUGACCGUGAGAGCUUGUGAUGGGCUAAGUUGGGACACCCCUGCAGGGAUUUGAACUUUCGAAAGCCGUGCCCGCAGUUAUGGGCAGAUGGGAAUUUGUUAAUGUCCGGUUGUAGAAAACCUAAAGUUGAUCUUAAUUAAAAUACAUCAACCGUGUGUGUAGCCGUGAUGGUCUCUUCUCGGCGGGGUCCGGGAAGUGAACACGGUGUUGGAGUUAUGCUUGAUGUAGGUUGUUCUAGGAUCACUUCUUGAUCAUAGUUUAUCGACCGUGCUUUUGCCUUCUCUUCUCGCUCUCUUUUGGGUAUAUGUUAGCCACCAGAUAUGCUAGUCGCUUGCUGCAGCUCCACCUCCUACCUUUUACCCUACCUAUAAGCUUAAAUAGUCUUGAUCGCGAGGGUGUGAGAUUGCUGAGUCCCCGUGACUCACAGAUACUUCCAAAACCCAGUUUGCAGGUGCCGUUGAUACCGAGCAGGUGACGCAACCAAGCUCAAGGAGGAGCUCGAUGAAGACCUUGUUCAUUAUGUUGUUCUGUUUCCAGUUGAUCAAUAGUGGAGCCCAGUUGGGACGAUCGGGGAUCUGUGUAGCAUUUGGGGUAGUCUUCUUUUAUUUUGGUUCCGUAGCCGGACCUUGAUUGUAUCUGGGUGAUGUAAUACUUUAUUCAUGUAAUUGUGUAAAGUGGCGAUUGUAAGCCAACUAUGUAUCUCUUUCCCUUUUAUGUAUUACAUGGGUUGUUGUGAAGAUUACCUCACUUGCGACAUGGCUUUCAAUGCGGUUAUGCCUCUAAGUCGUGCUUCG